GACGAAGGGGGCUAGCGUUGUUCGGAAUUACUGGGCGUAAAGCGCGUGUAGGCGGUUGUCCAAGUUGGAUGUGAAAGCCUUGAGCUUAACUCAAGAAAUGCAUUCAGGACUGGAUGACUAGAGGACCGGAGAGGAUAGUGGAAUUCCCAGUGUAGUGGUGAAAUACGUAGAGAUUGGGAAGAACACCAGUGGCGAAGGCGGCUAUCUGGACGGUUUCUGACGCUAAGACGCGAAAGCGUGGGGAGCAAACAGGG
This 254-nucleotide ribosomal RNA is filed under the name uncultured bacterium. RNAcentral describes it as "partial 16S ribosomal RNA". It matches the Rfam family "Bacterial small subunit ribosomal RNA", at positions 524 to 777 of the family's 1533-position model. The record is from RNAcentral.